RNAcentral lists this ribosomal RNA (253 nucleotides) under uncultured bacterium. RNAcentral's name for it is "partial 16S ribosomal RNA". It matches the Rfam family "Bacterial small subunit ribosomal RNA", at positions 524 to 776 of the family's 1533-position model. The record is from RNAcentral.
UACAGAGGGUGCGAGCGUUGUCCGGAAUCACUGGGCGUAAAGGGCGCGUAGGUGGCGGCCCAAGUCCAUGGUGAAAGCUCGAUGCUCAACAUCGAGUCGGCCACGGAUACUGGGUUGCUCGAGCACUGUAGGGGCAGAUGGAAUUCCGGGUGUAGCGGUGGAAUGCGUAGAGAUCCGGAAGAACACCGGUGGCGAAGGCGGUCUGCUGGGCAGUUGCUGACACUGAGGCGCGAAAGCGUGGGGAGCGAACGGG